Molecule: transfer RNA, 125 nt
Filed under: Grifola frondosa (maitake)
Lineage: Eukaryota; Fungi; Basidiomycota; Agaricomycetes; Polyporales; Grifolaceae
Rfam family: tRNA
About the family: Transfer RNA (tRNA) molecules are approximately 80 nucleotides in length. Their secondary structure includes four short double-helical elements and three loops (D, anti-codon, and T loops).
Source: Rfam by way of RNAcentral
GGCCGACUAGCUCAGUUGGUUAGAGCGUGGUGCUAAUAUAUUGAUAUAAGUAACUUUCCAGUACUCUGAGUUACUUACAAUGAUAUAUUACGCCAAGGUCGUCGGUUCGAUCCCGGCGUUGGCCA